GCUUGAGAAGCGGCGUGCUUACUACCAGCUAGUUGGUAAGGUAACGGCUUACCAAGGCUAUGACGGUUACCGGCUCUUAGCGGAGGGUCCGGCACAAUGGGACUGAGACACGGCCCAUACACCUACGGGUGGCAGCAGUUAGGAAUUUUGCGCAAUGGACGAAAGUCUGACGCAGCGACACCGCGUGGAGGAUGAAGGCCUUCGGGCUGUAAACUCCUUUUGAUCCGUCGUGAAGAUGGAUAGAAUAAGCAGCUACUAACUACGUGCCAGCAGUCGCGGUAAUACGUAGGCUGCAAGCGUUACCCGGAUUUACUGGGCGUAAAGCGUCUGUAGGUGGUUUGAAAAGUCCUGUCUCAAAGACCCGACUCAAUCGGGGAAAGGGGCAAGAUACUGUCAAGCUAGAGUUAUUGAGGUGCUACUGGAAUUUGUAGUGUAGGGGUAAAAUCCGUGGAUACUACAAAGAACACCGAUGGCGAAGGCAGGUAGCAAGCAAUAUACUGACACUGAGAGACUAAAGCUAGGGUAGCAAAUCAGAUUAGAGACCUGAGUAGUCCUAGCCCUAAACGUUGCCUGUUAGUCCCGAGAUUAUUUUCGGGAUGUAAGCUAACGCGUUAAACAGGCCGCCUGGGGAGUAUAGCCGCAAGGCCGAAACUCAAACGAAUUGGCGGGGAGGCGCACAACCAGUGGAGCAUGUGGUUCAAUUCGAUACGAAGCGAUAAACCUUACCUGGGUUUGAACUGUACCUGCAUCCCGGCAGAGACGUCGGGGGUCCUUCGAGGGUGGUACAGAGGUGUUGCAUGGCUAUCGUCAGCUCGUGACGUGAGUUGUUCUCUUAAGUGAGGUAACGAGCGCAACCCCUAUUUUGUGUUAUUUUUCACAAGAGACUGCCUAGCAUUAUUUUUGUUAGGAGGAAGGAAGGGACGACGUUAAGUCAGCAUGAUCCUUAUGUCCAGGGCUACACACAUCCUACAAUGCACACUACAACGGGUUGCCAAGCCGCAAGGCGGAGCUAAUCCUUCAAAAGUGUACUCAGUGGGGAUUGCAGGCUGAAACCUGCCUGCAUGAACUUGGAAUUGGUAGUAAUCGCAAAUCAGCAGAUUGCGGUGAGUACGUUCUCGCCUCUUGCACACACUGCCCGUCAAAUCAACAAAGUUGGGGGUACCCAAAGUCUCACUUCGGUAGGACCAAGGUAAAUCCAGCGAUGAGGGUUAAGUCGUAACAAGGUA
RNAcentral lists this ribosomal RNA (1226 nucleotides) under metagenome. Its description in RNAcentral is "bacterial SSU rRNA". It matches the Rfam family "Bacterial small subunit ribosomal RNA", at positions 217 to 1498 of the family's 1533-position model. The record is from RNAcentral.